CUCAUGUUACCUUUGUUCCAAAAUGCGUAAUCAAGGUUGAAAUGUAAUAAAGCAUCGCUUUUCAAUGAAUGUACAAUAAAAGAACAAGAAGAAGCGGCACAUUAAGAAAUAACGGUUCCUUAUAUUUGUUUACGGAGUGAUUUAAUAAGUGCAAGAACUCGCGUAAUUUUUAUGAACAAUUGUGUGAAAUUUUGGAAAUUAGGAAAAAAAAAAAAUGAAUACGUAAAUAUAAGUUUAUAACAUGCAUUAGAUUAAGUGCCCGAAAAAUGUGAAGUGAUCGAGUUUUAAAGUGUUUAUGCCUGCAUUAUUGCUUCAUUGGUGGAGCAAAACUAUUUUUUUUAUUGAAAGGUGGAAGCGUUUAAAACAUAUUUAUUGCUAUUCAGACUUUUUGUUGAAAUUCGACGAGAAAUAUUUCAGGAUAAACAAAUUUCCCAAUCUGCUCCCGCUGUAAUCUGUGCUGAUCUGAAACUCAUCUCCAUCUGAUAGAUGGAGAAUCGCACAAGUUCUCUUCCAGCUGCAGCUCUUCAAAGAAACAUAGAAAUAAUGAGAUAUACCAUAUUCAUGUCACGCGGUGGCGAUCAGAAAGAAAUGAGGAAAUACAAAGAGACAGAGAUGUUUGGCCGCAGUCUAAUCAGCAAGUGUAGGUGCUUAACCGGUCAUUGCUUAGUCCACUUUCCUCGCUAUUCAAGACACUUCAACGCGUACACACAAAACAGUAAAUAUGCUCAAUUAUAUGCCAGCGCGUGCAACAUAAUCGGAUUUUCAAUAAAAUCGUGUAAACUGUCAGCUAUGAAUGUCAAUGUGUUGCCGCUAACUGAUUGCAUUCUACCCACAUAUCUAUAAUUUUGUUC
Long non-coding RNA from Glossina fuscipes, 851 nucleotides. RefSeq lists it as uncharacterized. Lineage: Eukaryota; Metazoa; Arthropoda; Insecta; Diptera; Glossinidae. The record is from RefSeq and is a predicted model, not a curated record. The transcript has 4 exons.